UACGAAGGGGACUAGCGUUGUUCGGAAUCACUGGGCGUAAAGCGCACGUAGGCGGAUAUGUCAGUCAGGGGUGAAAUCCCGGGGCUCAACCUCGGAACUGCCUUUGAUACAGCAUGUCUUGAGUCCGAUAGAGGUGGGUGGAAUUCCUAGUGUAGAGGUGAAAUUCGUAGAUAUUAGGAAGAACACCGGUGGCGAAGGCGGCCCACUGGAUCGGUACUGACGCUGAGGUGCGAAAGCGUGGGGAGCGAUCCGG
This 253-nucleotide ribosomal RNA is filed under the name uncultured bacterium. Its description in RNAcentral is "partial 16S ribosomal RNA". It matches the Rfam family "Bacterial small subunit ribosomal RNA", at positions 524 to 776 of the family's 1533-position model. The record is from RNAcentral.